GAGAAAUAUGAAAAUUUAGACUUUAAAGAGCUGGCAACCUUGACAGAAGGAUAUACUGGAAGUGAUCUUAAGAAUUUGUGCAUCACUGCGGCUUAUCGACCUGUUAGGGAGCUAAUAUAGUAAGAGAGAAUGAAGGAAAUGGAAAACAAGAAAAGAGAAGCAGAAGGCCAAAGCUCAGAAGAUGCUUCAAACAAUAAAGAUAAGGAAGACCAAGAAAUUACCUUGAGGCCUUUAAACAUGGAAGAUAUGAGACAAGCUAAGAGUCAAGUGGCUGCAAGUUUUGCAUAAGAAGGAUCUGUAAUGAAUGAGUUGAAGCAGUGGAAUGAUCUCUAUGUAGAAGGUGGUUCAAGGAAGAAACAACAACUCACUUACUUCCUUUAGAUUGUGGAACGCUACUUUUAUUUUGGAUUUGUUCAACAUUCAUCUCAACGAUGCAUUUAACUAAGGAGGAAGUCCUUCACUAGAGAUGUUGAACUCAAAGCAUGCCCAAAUGUGAAAGAGAUGUUAUGAUUCCCAAAAAAGCAAAAGUAUUGGCACACCUAUUCUGUAAAGGAUGUGUAGAUCAUCAUGGAUUAU
Molecule: non-coding RNA, 576 nt
Organism: Cajanus cajan (pigeon pea)
Lineage: Eukaryota; Viridiplantae; Streptophyta; Magnoliopsida; Fabales; Fabaceae
Source: RefSeq, a predicted model, not a curated record